AGCCAUCAAGGUGUUCAUCCACUGAUCAAGGAUGAUUCCAGAACAUUUUGAGGGGCAACUAAACACUACAGCCGACCACUGGAAUGGUUGGCCAGGACUGAAAUGAGGAUUCAUUUUCAGAUGGCCAGCUAUGCCUAUUUUGCAGUGGGUCC
This 152-nucleotide non-coding RNA is filed under the name unclassified sequences. The record is from Rfam.